RNAcentral lists this ribosomal RNA (394 nucleotides) under Oithona sp. Its description in RNAcentral is "partial small subunit ribosomal RNA". It matches the Rfam family "Eukaryotic small subunit ribosomal RNA", at positions 582 to 975 of the family's 1831-position model. Lineage: Eukaryota; Metazoa; Arthropoda; Copepoda; Cyclopoida; Oithonidae. The record is from RNAcentral.
AUUCCAGCUCCAAUAGCGUAUAUUAAAGUUGUUGCGGUUAAAAAGCUCGUAGUUGGAUCUCGGCGGGCAGGGGGUGGUUCGCUCUUCAGCGCUACUGCCCCGCUUUGCCCGUGUGAUUGGCGGAGGUUUCGGGGUGCUCUUCGUUGAGUGACUCGGAGCGCCGUCAGGUUUACUUUGAAAAAAUUAGAGUGCUCAAAGCAGGCUUUUCACGCUUGAAUAUUCGUGCAUGGAAUAAUGGAAUAGGAACUCGUUUCUAUUUUGUUGGUUUUCGGAAAUCGGGUUAAUGAUUAACAGGGACAAUUGGGGGCAUUAGUAUUCAGACGACAGAGGUGAAUUUCUUGGAUUUUGAUCAGACGAACUACUGCGAAAGCAUUUAUCAAGGAUGGUUUCAUUA